Long non-coding RNA from Bos taurus (domestic cattle), 332 nucleotides. The record is from Ensembl. Lineage: Eukaryota; Metazoa; Chordata; Mammalia; Artiodactyla; Bovidae.
AGCAGACCCAAUGAAAGGUGAAAGCUCUUUGGCUAGAAUGGCUCCUCAGAGUUGUUCUGAGUUGGGUUGAGAUGGCCAGGAUUGUAUACCCUUGUAUCAAUCAGUCAUUGGAUGUGGGCCACUUUGGGAAAGGACGUGAUCUUGGACAAGACAGUGUUCUGCUUCUAACAAUCCCUGAGUAGUGUGACAGCUAACGGCUGUCUGCUGACAGCAUUUUCAGAAUCAGCAAAUGGAUGCAACAACGGACUGCAAACAGUCUCACCUGUUCCACUCCAGAUCUGUUUGAAUUUUAUCUGUGAAUUGGUGUCUCCUGUGGUCUUGUAACUCUCCAG